ACUUUUGCAGCUUUGGUGGGCUCCGGCUUCCUUCACACCAGCCCCCCGCGUCCGAGAGACUUAGCAGGGCGUCAAACUGGAGAGCGGAAGGAUGGAACCUUUUAUUCUCAGGUGGAGAGGAUUAAGCUUUGCGGUGUUAGCAGAAAAUGAUCGAGCUCCAGAAAAUGAUUUGGAGUCUGCAGGUGUACCCAGCAGCUCCAAAGAGACAGCGACCACCGAGAACAAGCCAUGAUGAUGAUGGUGGUUUGUCGAAAAGGAAAUGGGGAAAUGUAGGGAAAAGAGAGAUCAGACUGUUACUGUGUCUGUGUAGAAAGAAGUAGACAUAAGAGACUCCAUUUUGUUCUGUACUAAGAAAAAUUAUUCUGCCUUGAGAUGCUGUUAAUCUGUAACCCUACCCCCAACCCUGUGCUCCCUGAAACACGUGCUGUGUCAACUCAGGGUUAAAUGGAUUAAGGGCUGUGCAGGAUGUGCUUUGUUAGACAAAUGCUUGAAGGCAGCAUGCUUGUUAAGAGUCAUCAUCACUCCCCAAUCUCAAGUACCCAGAGACAAUACGCUGCGGAAGGCCGCAGGGACCUCUGCCUAGGAAAGCCAGGUAUUGUCCAAGGUUUCUCCCCAUGUGAUAGUCUGAAAUAUGGCCUCUUGGGAAGGGAAAGACCUGACCGUCCCCUAGCCCAACACCCGUAAAGGGUCUGUGCUGAGGAGGAUUCGUAAAAGAGGAAGGAAGGCCUCUUUGCAGUUGAGAUAAGAGGAAGGCAUCUGUCUCCUGCUCGUCCCUGGGCAAUGGAAUGUCUCGGUGUAAAACCCGAUUGUAUGUUCCAUCUACUGAGAUGGGGAAAACCGCCUUAGGGCUGGAUGUGGGACAUGCUGGCAGCAAUACUGCUCUUUAAGGCAUUGAGAUGUUUAUGUGUAUGCACAUCAAAAGCACAGCACUUUUUUCUUUACCUUGCUUAUGAUGCGGAGACGUUUGUUCACAUGUUUUCCUGCUGACCGAAUCUCUCCACUAUUACCCUGUUGUCCUGCCACAUCCCCCUCUCCGAGAAAUGCCCAAUAAUGAUCAAUAAAUACUGAGGGAACUCAGA
This is a long non-coding RNA of Pan troglodytes (chimpanzee), 1079 nucleotides long. RefSeq lists it as uncharacterized. NCBI's taxonomy places the organism in Eukaryota, Metazoa, Chordata, Mammalia, Primates, Hominidae. The transcript is spliced from 2 exons. The record is from RefSeq and is a predicted model, not a curated record.